AUUGAACGCUGGCGGCAGGCCUAACACGUGCAAGUCGAGCGGUAGCACAGAGAGCUUGCUCUCGGGUGACGAGCGGCGGACGGGUGAGUAAUGUCUGGGAAACUGCCUGAUGGAGGGGGAUAACUACUGGAAACGGUAGCUAAUACCGCAUAAUGUCGCAAGACCAAAGUGGGGGACCUUCGGGCCUCAUGCCAUCAGAUGUGCCCAGAUGGGAUUAGCUAGUAGGUGGGGUAAUGGCUCACCUAGGCGACGAUCCCUAGCUGGUCUGAGAGGAUGACCAGCCACACUGGAACUGAGACACGGUCCAGACUCCUACGGGAGGCAGCAGUGGGGAAUAUUGCACAAUGGGCGCAAGCCUGAUGCAGCCAUGCCGCGUGUGUGAAGAAGGCCUUCGGGUUGUAAAGCACUUUCAGCGGGGAGGAAGGCGAUAAGGUUAAUAACCUUGUCGAUUGACGUUACCCGCAGAAGAAGCACCGGCUAACUCCGUGCCAGCAGCCGCGGUAAUACGGAGGGUGCAAGCGUUAAUCGGAAUUACUGGGCGUAAAGCGCACGCAGGCGGUCUGUCAAGUCGGAUGUGAAAUCCCCGGGCUCAACCUGGGAACUGCAUUCGAAACUGGCAGGCUAGAGUCUUGUAGAGGGGGGUAGAAUUCCAGGUGUAGCGGUGAAAUGCGUAGAGAUCUGGAGGAAUACCGGUGGCGAAGGCGGCCCCCUGGACAAAGACUGACGCUCAGGUGCGAAAGCGUGGGGAGCAAACAGGAUUAGAUACCCUGGUAGUCCACGCCGUAAACGAUGUCGAUUUGGAGGUUGUGCCCUUGAGGCGUGGCUUCCGGAGCUAACGCGUUAAAUCGACCGCCUGGGGAGUACGGCCGCAAGGUUAAAACUCAAAUGAAUUGACGGGGGCCCGCACAAGCGGUGGAGCAUGUGGUUUAAUUCGAUGCAACGCGAAGAACCUUACCUGGUCUUGACAUCCACAGAACUUUCCAGAGAUGGAUUGGUGCCUUCGGGAACUGUGAGACAGGUGCUGCAUGGCUGUCGUCAGCUCGUGUUGUGAAAUGUUGGGUUAAGUCCCGCAACGAGCGCAACCCUUAUCCUUUGUUGCCAGCGGUUCGGCCGGGAACUCAAAGGAGACUGCCAGUGAUAAACUGGAGGAAGGUGGGGAUGACGUCAAGUCAUCAUGGCCCUUACGACCAGGGCUACACACGUGCUACAAUGGCAUAUACAAAGAGAAGCGACCUCGCGAGAGCAAGCGGACCUCAUAAAGUAUGUCGUAGUCCGGAUUGGAGUCUGCAACUCGACUCCAUGAAGUCGGAAUCGCUAGUAAUCGUAGAUCAGAAUGCUACGGUGAAUACGUUCCCGGGCCUUGUGCACACCGCCCGUCACACCAUGGGAGUGGGUUGCAAAAGAAGUAGGUAGCUUAACCUUCGGGAGGGCGCUUACCACUUUGUGAUUCAUGACUGGGGUGA
RNAcentral lists this ribosomal RNA (1463 nucleotides) under uncultured Klebsiella sp. Its description in RNAcentral is "bacterial SSU rRNA". It matches the Rfam family "Bacterial small subunit ribosomal RNA". Lineage: Bacteria; Pseudomonadati; Pseudomonadota; Gammaproteobacteria; Enterobacterales; Enterobacteriaceae. The record is from RNAcentral.